Molecule: ribosomal RNA, 218 nt
Filed under: uncultured bacterium
Lineage: Bacteria
Description: partial 16S ribosomal RNA
Rfam family: Bacterial small subunit ribosomal RNA
Source: RNAcentral
UACGGAGGAGGCAAGCGUUUAUCCGGAAUUAUUGGGCGUAAAGCGUCCGCAGGUGGCACCUCAAGUCUGCUGUCAAAGACCGGGGCUUAACCCUGGAAAGGCAGUGGAAACUGAAGCGCUAGAGUGUGGCAGGGGUAGAGGGAAUUCCCGGUGUAGCGGUGAAAUGCGUAGAGAUCGGGAAGAACAUCGGUGGCGAAAGCGCUCUACUGGGCCAUAAC